AGACCCGAAACCCGGUGAUCUAGCCAUGGGCAGGUUGAAGGUUGGGUAACACUAACUGGAGGACCGAACCGACUAAUGUUGAAAAAUUAGCGGAUGACUUGUGGCUGGGGGUGAAAGGCCAAUCAAACCGGGAGAUAGCUGGUUCUCCCCGAAAGCUAUUUAGGUAGCGCCUCGUGAAUUCAUCUCCGGGGGUAGAGCACUGUUUCGGCAAGGGGGUCAUCCCGACUUACCAACCCGAUGCAAACUGCGAAUACCGGAGAAUGUUAUCACGGGAGACACACGGCGGGUGCUAACGUCCGUCGUGAAGAGGGAAACAACCCAGACCGCCAGCUAAGGUCCCAAAGUCAUGGUUAAGUGGGAAACGAUGUGGGAAGGCCCAGACAGCCAGGAUGUUGGCUUAGAAGCAGCCAUCAUUUAAAGAAAGCGUAAUAGCUCACUGGUCGAGUCGGCCUGCGCGGAAGAUGUAACGGGGCUAAACCAUGCACCGAAGCUGCGGCAGCGACACUGUGUGUUGUUGGGUAGGGGAGCGUUCUGUAAGCCUGUGAAGGUGUGCUGUGAGGCAUGCUGGAGGUAUCAGAAGUGCGAAUGCUGACAUAAGUAACGAUAAAGC
RNAcentral lists this ribosomal RNA (610 nucleotides) under Escherichia coli. RNAcentral's name for it is "partial 23S ribosomal RNA". It matches the Rfam family "Bacterial large subunit ribosomal RNA", at positions 711 to 1318 of the family's 2925-position model. The record is from RNAcentral. Lineage: Bacteria; Pseudomonadati; Pseudomonadota; Gammaproteobacteria; Enterobacterales; Enterobacteriaceae.